Molecule: ribosomal RNA, 582 nt
Filed under: uncultured bacterium
Lineage: Bacteria
Description: partial 16S ribosomal RNA
Rfam family: Bacterial small subunit ribosomal RNA
Source: RNAcentral
UGGGGAAUAUUGCACAAUGGGCGCAAGCCUGAUGCAGCCAUGCCGCGUGUGUGAAGAAGGCCUUCGGGUUGUAAAGCACUUUCAGCGAGGAGGAAGGUGGUGAGCUUAAUACGCUCAUCAAUUGACGUUACUCGCAGAAGAAGCACCGGCUAACUCCGUGCCAGCAGCCGCGGUAAUACGGAGGGUGCAAGCGUUAAUCGGAAUUACUGGGCGUAAAGCGCACGCAGGCGGUUUGUUAAGUCAGAUGUGAAAUCCCCGGGCUCAACCUGGGAACUGCAUUUGAAACUGGCAAGCUAGAGUCUCGUAGAGGGGGGUAGAAUUCCAGGUGUAGCGGUGAAAUGCGUAGAGAUCUGGAGGAAUACCGGUGGCGAAGGCGGCCCCCUGGACGAAGACUGACGCUCAGGUGCGAAAGCGUGGGGCAGCAAACAGGAUUAGAUACCCUGGUAGUCCACGCUGUAAAACGAUGUCGAUUUUGGAGGUUGUGCCCUUGAGGCGUGGCUUCCGGAGCUAACGCGUUAAAUUGACCGCCUGGGGAGUACGGCCGCAAGGUUAAAACUCAAAGGAAUUGACGGGGUCUAGCUG